Molecule: ribosomal RNA, 258 nt
Filed under: uncultured bacterium
Lineage: Bacteria
Description: partial 16S ribosomal RNA
Rfam family: Bacterial small subunit ribosomal RNA
Source: RNAcentral
UGGCGGACGGGUGAGUAACGCGUGGGUAACCUGCCUCAUACAGGGGGAUAACAGUUAGAAAUGACUGCUAAUACCGCAUAAGCACACAGAACCGCAUGGUUCGGGGUGAAAAGCCGAGACGGUAUGAGAUGGACCCGCGUCUGAUUAGCUAGUUGGAGGGGUAACGGCCCACCAAGGCAACGAUCAGUAGCCGACCUGAGAGGGUGACCGGCCACAUUGGGACUGAGACACGGCCCAAACUCCUACGGAAGGCAGCAG